UGCAAUCUACCUUUGCCAGAGGGAUAGCCCAGAGAAAUUUGGAUUAAUACCUCAUAGUAUAGAACAAUCGCAUGAUUGAGCUAUUAAAGUCACAACGGCAAAAGAUGAGCAUGCGUCCCAUUAGUUAGUUGGUAAGGUAACGGCUUACCAAGACUACGAUGGGUAGGGGUCCUGAGAGGGAGAUCCCCCACACUGGUACUGAGACACGGACCAGACUCCUACGGGAGGCAGCAGUGGGGAAUUUUGGACAAUGGGCGCAAGCCUGAUCCAGCAAUGCCGCGUGCAGGAAGAAGGCCUUCGGGUUGUAAACUGCUUUGUACGGAACGAAACGGCUCUGGUUAAUACCUGGGGCUAAUGACGGUACCGUAAGAAUAAGCACCGGCUAACUACGUG
This 393-nucleotide ribosomal RNA is filed under the name uncultured bacterium. RNAcentral's name for it is "bacterial SSU rRNA". It matches the Rfam family "Bacterial small subunit ribosomal RNA", at positions 120 to 507 of the family's 1533-position model. The record is from RNAcentral.